CCCGGUUGGGCCCGUAAUAAUGAUGCACUUCGUACGAACUCUGCCAUUGAUUGGUUGCUUGCAUCAUGAUUUACAUUUGAGUGAGUGGCGAACUGGUGAGUAACACGUGGGAAACCUGCCCAGAAGCGGGGGAUAACACCUGGAAACCGAUGCUAAUACCGCAUAACAACUUGGACCGCAUGGUCCGAGUUUGAAAGAUGGCUUCGGCUAUCACUUUUGGAUGGUCCCGCGGCGUAUUAGCUAGAUGGUGGGGUAACGGCUCACCAUGGCAAUGAUACGUAGCCGACCUGAGAGGGUAAUCGGCCACAUUGGGACUGAGACACGGCCCAAACUCCUACGGGAGGCAGCAGUAGGGAAUCUUCCACAAUGGACGAAAGUCUGAUGGAGCAACGCCGCGUGAGUGAAGAAGGGUUUCGGCUCGUAAAACUCUGUUGUUAAAGAAGAACAUAUCUGAGAGUAACUGUUCAGGUAUUGACGGUAUUUAACCAGAAAGCCACGGCUAACUACGUGCCAGCAGCCGCGGUAAUACGUAAGUGGCAAGCGUUGUCCGGAUUUAUUGGGCGUAAAGCGAGCGCACGCGGUUUUUUAAGUCUGAUGUGAAAGCCUUCGGCUCAACCGAAGAAGUGCAUCGGAAACUGGGAAACUUGAGUGCAGAACAGGACAGUGGAACUCCAUGUGUAGCGGUGAAAUGCGUACAUAUAUGGAAGGACACCAGUGGCGAUGGCGGCUGUCUGGUCUGUAACUGAGGCUGAGGCUCGAAAGUAUGGGUAGCAAACAGGAUUAGAUACCCUGGUAGUCCAUACCGUAAACGAUGAAUGCUAAGUGUUGGAGGGUUUCCGCCCCUUCAGUGCUGCAGCUAACGCAUUAAUCAUUCCGCCUGGGGAGGACGGGCCGCAGGCUGAUACUCAUAGGAUUUGACGGGGGUCCGCACAAGCAGUGGAGCAUGUGGCUAAAGUCACAAGCACCCCGAGAACCCUCACCCAUUGUCUUGACAUAACUAUGGAUAGUCCAAAUGAGAUAAUACGUUCCCUUCGGGGGACAUGGAGGCAGACGGUGCAAUCGAUGUCGCCCGACUCGUGGCCACGUAGUAUGUUGCGUUUACGUCUCCCCACGUGGAGCACACCCUGUACUGAUCAGUGGCCAAGCAAUCAGGUGAGAGGAACUCCCUGGUACGACUAUCCCGUGACAUAACCGAAUGAAAGGGUGGGGCAAUGACGUCAAAUCCUCAUCGCCCCUAUAUAGACGGUCUACAUCCUGUCUACAUGGCAGGUAUCACACUGAUGUGCGUAACAUCUCCGCAGUAAGAAUCUAAUCGCUCUAAUC
Molecule: ribosomal RNA, 1323 nt
Filed under: Lactiplantibacillus plantarum
Lineage: Bacteria; Bacillati; Bacillota; Bacilli; Lactobacillales; Lactobacillaceae
Description: bacterial SSU rRNA
Rfam family: Bacterial small subunit ribosomal RNA
Source: RNAcentral